UUUAUCUCAUCAUCAAAAGUAGGUCAAGCAGAAUAUUAUGUAACCAUGAUGUAAUAGUGAUGGUAGCGGAGACCGUCUGAGAUUUACAACAGCACUAGACCAGAACAGCUGUUUUAUUUGUAUCGCCAGUACAGUCAUGUACAACUGGGACCACAGACUAGGAAGGCAGUGGAGAUUUAACACAAGCGGAUUAUGAAAGAUGGAAGCAUUUCAUUGGAAAGCAGAAUGUUUUUUCAUGUCUGGAAAUGCUCCACAAGUUUGCCUCAACAGUUGUUGUGACGUCACAUUUCUUGUGGGACCCACGUAUAGCGCUGUCUCCGCUCACAAGUGCGUUUUAGCGAACAGAAGUGCAGUAUUCAAGGUGAUGUUGACAGGAUAUCUACCGGAAAAGAUAUCACUUCCUGAUGUAGACAAGGAUGCGUUCCAAACAUUUGUGAGAUAUCUGUAUACGGAUGAAAUCGACAUUACCGAAGACAAUGUUGUCCCCCUCCUCUAUAUCAGCCGAAAGUACAUGGUGGACAUGUUGGUGGACAUGUGUCAACGGAUUUUAGUUUCUAUGGUAACUAAUGAAAAUGUAGUGUAUAUCUUUAAUCUGGCCGAAAUGUUUUGCCUCAAUAGUAUGCAAAAAUAUUGUGUGAGUGUCAUGAGGAAAUCUUUGCACGAAGUCACCAAAUCAGAAGAUUUUAUCAAGUUAGAUGUUGGAAAAAUGACGCAAAUUGUCCGAGGAUUAGACUUGGGUAGGUCACCGACUUACGUCGCUUUUUGUCUGCGUCACUGGUGUUCUACUGAAUGUUCACGACGAGAUAUGCCGGAGUUUGAUGAAUCAUUCUUGAAUCUCCUUGUCUCUGAAAUCCAAUUUAAUACCGUUUCGGGCAGGCUCUUUAUCGAAAGCUUCCGGCAUCCAAACAAAUGAAACAAAUUAUUAUGUACCCAUAUGAAAUAGGGGGCAUACAGUUUAAACAAUGUUUCGUCGUUUUCUGACGUGAACUUAUCCGUGCGUUUUCUCAGAAAUACCUUGUUCUUCGGUCAUAUGGACGAUCACUUGCAAAUCCAGCAUCUCAAGGUGAGUGGAAGGAAAUCGACAUUUCGCUUGAUGUAACUCGUGGACUGCUCUCCGAUUGACUGUGACAAUAAGGUUCUCACUUAUGUCCAAUAGAGCAGCGCUUACUUCAUACUUAGUGGGAAUGAAACACAGGGAUUAUACUUUUUGUCAAAGAAUAUACUUUUUGUCGAAGAAUUGACAUUGUUAUAAUUAUUAUUAUUCAAGAUGGCAACUGGGAUAUCUCAAUGGCCUUGACAAAUUUGUAUUGGUCUAUUUCUAAAUUUUAAAAAACAUAUAAAACAAAAAUAUAAUAUAAUACAAACUAAUAAUAUUAUAAUAAAAACUUGAACGCGUGUUUUGUUGAGCUUGUGUGAAUGUGAAAUAUAUAUUUCCGGCGGCAUCCUAGAAGACUACCAUGGUUCCUGAUUAGCCAAGUUCGUUAGGGUUAAAACUUGAGUCAUGUUGGGCUGUAUUUUAAGUAAAUUUAAGUAUGUAUGUUUAUGCGAGUAUAUAUGAAAGGAUCUGAUUUGAAAUUAGUAAUUGUCAUAAAUAUUGUAAUCCUCUAUAAAUAAAGGAGCUAUCAUCAUUUUGUUAUAUACUUACUGUACUGCGUCGACACUCCAGAAUCAAUGAAUAAGAGUCCAUGAACUGUUUAUAUAUGACGAUUCCGCUCAACCUAAAACCUGAUUUGAGCAUUGCAUGGAUUAAUCAUCUUUGUAUGCAUGGCAAGUGCCAAUACGUUUUCAAAUUACGUUUUGAUAUUUAUUUGAUGCAACAUUGCUAUGAUGUCAUCAAGUGUGUUAUUUGUACUGAAGCAGAUAGGGUAAAUAUAUCGCAUACAAUUAUCAAAUAACUCAAUAACUCAAAAAUGUCCUAUAAUUUAUCAUGGACAGCAACACGUAAACCAGUUGACAGUUCAGCCCUAUCUACACUGUGUUUAGAACAAUUAGAACAUAUUACAACAACUAUAGAAAGAAAAGUGAAAUAAAACAUGCA
This is a long non-coding RNA of Mizuhopecten yessoensis (Yesso scallop), 2038 nucleotides long. RefSeq lists it as uncharacterized. The record is from RefSeq and is a predicted model, not a curated record. The transcript has 3 exons. Lineage: Eukaryota; Metazoa; Mollusca; Bivalvia; Pectinida; Pectinidae.